GGCUGGUGCUCUACAUCUCCAGCAUCAACGACGAGGUGAUGAACCGCCCCGGCGGCUCCGAGCAGUAUUUCCAGUACCGCUACGGCUGGUCCUUCGCCUUCGCCGCCUCCUCCUUCCUCCUCAAAGAGGUGCGCGAGGCCUCGCGCCGGGAUUGCACCGGGAUUGCACCGGGAUUGCACGGGGAUUGCAUGGCCUCUCACCGCCUUGCACCAGGAUUGCACAGCCAUGCACCGGGAUUGCACAGGGAUUGCACCGGGAUUGCACCGGGAUUGCACGGCCUCUCACCGCCUUGCACCGGGAUUGCACAGCCAUGCACCAGGAUUGCACAGGGAUUGCACCGGGAUUGCACCGGGAUUGCACGGGGAUUGCAUGGCCUCUCACCGCCUUGCACCGGGAUUGCACAGCCAUGCACCGGGAUUGCACAGGGAUUGCACCGCCUCGCAUGGCCAUGCACAGCCACGCACCGCCUCGCACGGGGAGCACAGCCACGCACGGGGAUUGCACUGCCUCGCACAGCCCUGCACGGCCUCGCACGGGGAUUGCACGGGGAUUGCACAGGGAUUGCACGGCCUCUCAUGGCCCUGCACGGCCUUGCACGGGCAGCACGCGGCCUUGCACCACCUUGCACAGGGAGCCCGUGGCCUCACACGGGGAUUGCACGGGGAUUGCACGGGGAGCACGUGGCCUUGCACCACCUUGCACAGCUGCACACAGGGAUUGCACGGGGAUUGCACAGCCUUGCACAGCUGCGCACAGGGAUUGCACGGGGAUUGCACGGCCUCGCGCAGGGAGUGCUGGGCUUGCACGGCCUCUCAUGGCCUUGCACGGGGAUCGCACAGGGGUUGCAAAGGGGUCGCAUGGGGAUCAUGCUGGAUUGCACAGGGGGUGCGCUGCGCCGUGCUGCACUGUGCUGCGCUGUGCUGUGCCGCACUGUGGCACACUGUGCCAUGCCGUGGUGCUCUGGGCUGCACCGUGCUGCACCGUGCUGCACUGUGCCAUGCUGUAGUGCAUCAUGCUGCACCGUGCUGUGCUGUGUUGCACCGUGCUGCAUCAUGCUGCAUCAUGCUGCACUGUGCUGUGCUGUGCUGUGCUGCAUCAUGCUCUGCCACGCUGCACUGUGCCAUGCUGCACCGUGCUGUGCUGUGCUGCGCUGUAUUGCACUGUGCCAUGCCGUGCCGUGCUGCACCAUGCCGCACCGUGCUGUGCUGCGUCAUGCUGCGUCGUGCUGCACUGUGCUGCACUGUGCUGCACCGUGCUGUGCUGUGCUGUGCUGCGGUGCACUGCGCUGCGUUGUGCUGCACCACGCUGGGCUGCGCUGCAUCAUGCCGCACUGUGCUGUGCUGCGCUCUGCUGYGUCGUGCUGCACCGUGCUGCACCCCGCUGC
This 1384-nucleotide long non-coding RNA is filed under the name Apteryx rowi (Okarito brown kiwi). RNAcentral describes it as "lncRNA (ENSARWG00000016549.1)". Lineage: Eukaryota; Metazoa; Chordata; Aves; Apterygiformes; Apterygidae. The record is from RNAcentral.